RNAcentral lists this ribosomal RNA (253 nucleotides) under uncultured bacterium. Its description in RNAcentral is "partial 16S ribosomal RNA". It matches the Rfam family "Bacterial small subunit ribosomal RNA", at positions 524 to 776 of the family's 1533-position model. The record is from RNAcentral.
UACGGGGGGGGCAAGCGUUGUUCGGAAUUACUGGGCGUAAAGCGCGCGUAGGCGGCUUUGUAAGUUAGAGGUGAAAGCCCGGGGCUCAACCCCGGAACUGCCUUUAAGACUGCAUCGCUUGAAUCCGGGAGAGGUGAGUGGAAUUCCGAGUGUAGAGGUGAAAUUCGUAGAUAUUCGGAAGAACACCAGUGGCGAAGGCGGCUCACUGGACCGGUAUUGACGCUGAGGUGCGAAAGCGUGGGGAGCAAACAGG